Molecule: ribosomal RNA, 230 nt
Filed under: uncultured bacterium
Lineage: Bacteria
Description: partial 16S ribosomal RNA
Rfam family: Bacterial small subunit ribosomal RNA
Source: RNAcentral
CCGGGGUGAGUAAUGUCUGGGAAACUGCCCGAUGGAGGGGGGUAACUACUGGAAACGGUAGCUAAUACCGCAUAACGUCGCAAGACCAAAGAGGGGGACCUUAGGGCCUCUUGCCAUCGGAUGUGCCCAGAUGGGAUUAGCUAGUAGGUGGGGUAAUGGCUCACCUAGGCGACGAUCCCUAGCUGGUCUGAGAGGAUGAUCAGCCACACUGGAACUGAGACACGGUCCAG